RNAcentral lists this unclassified non-coding RNA (569 nucleotides) under Hevea brasiliensis (rubber tree). Lineage: Eukaryota; Viridiplantae; Streptophyta; Magnoliopsida; Malpighiales; Euphorbiaceae. The record is from RNAcentral.
UUCCAUCCCAACAGAUAUUGGAAGAUCUCUUGGUUUUGCCUCCUUUUUCUCGGUAGCAAACAAUAGCAUCACUGGAAUAAUUCCUGAAUCCAUAUGCAACGUCAGCUACCUUCAAGUUCUUGAUUUCUCUAACAAUGCCUUGAGUGGAACAAUACCACCAUGUCUACUGGAAUAUAGUCCAAAACUUGGAGUGCUGAAUCUAGGGAACAAUAGACUCCAUGGUGUUAUACCAGAUUCAUUUCCAAUUGGUUGUGCUCUAAUAACUUUAGACCUCAGCAGGAAUAUCUUUGAAGGGAAGCUACCAAAAUCGCUUGUCAACUGCACGUUGUUGGAGGUCCUGAAUGUUGGAAAUAACAGUCUUGUUGAUCGUUUCCCAUGCAUGUUGAGGAACUCAACCAGCCUGAAGGUCCUAGUCUUGCGCUCCAAUAAAUUCAAUGGAAAUCUUACGUGUAAUAUAACCAAACAUAGCUGGAAGAAUCUCCAGAUCAUAGAUAUAGCUUCCAACAAUUUUACUGGUAUGUUGAAUGCAGAAUGCUUUACAAAUUGGAGAGGAAUGAUGGUUGCAAAAG